AUGUACCGCCACGAGCAUCCCCUUCGCGGUCCUCCACCGCAUUUCGUGCCGGUCUUGAGGCACCCACCCUCUAUCAGACACAGUGGGCCAUUUUCGGUACCACGUCCAGGACAACAACCCCAAAGACCUGCUGGACAGUUCCCACCGCCGGAAAGCUUUUACCUGCACAACAGGCCACCGAGCGACCGCUACGUGAGUCCCCACUGUAGCAACUUCUCCAUAGACCGUAGUACAGUGAUUGCUGUCGGAGGCAGCCAGCAGAUUGCCCCUCCUGCAGAUUCACCACAUCUUCAAGUUCCACUGUGGAACCCCCCACAGAUGGGACAUCUUGUUUCAGACAACAGUGAUCAAGCUGGCGAGGAGUUCCUGAGAUGUAUUGCAGCCAACAAACCUCUACCAGAUUAUCUCAAAGGCAAUAUGGCAUUAAACCUGGCUGAUGCACUCAAGUCUGCUGAAACACUGAAAGUUUCAGUCAAGUCGGUGACCAAGAGUAAGAGCCGUAGUCGAAGUCAAAGCCGAACCCGUGGCAGAUCUCGAGCCAAGAGCCGAGCAAGGAGUCGAAGCAGAGGAAGGAGCAAAAGUCAUGUUCGUGGCAAGAGUCGAGCCAAAAGCCAAACGCGGGCUUGCAGUAGGAGUCGGAGCCGGGGCAAGCAGAGUCACAAACGGAGCAAAAGUCGAGUCAGAAGAUCUAGGUCCCGAAGCAGCAGUAGUGAAAAGAGCCAUGGCAAAGACAGGAAGAGGAAGAGAAGCCCUGACAUCAGCAGCAACAAUCUGACUGGAAACCGUCUGUUUGAAGGACUCAAACUAGUCAUGAACAGCAAAGAUGUGGAAGAGCGGUUGCCCUCUCUCAAAGAUGCCAUCCUUGGUAUUCAGGCUUCAUGUGGAAAAAAGACAGUGGAGAACGUGUCUGAUGAGCCCAAACAUCAGCAAUAUGACAGCAUCGACCCUUUCACAACACUGGAGAAUGAAAGCAUCUUGCUUCCACAUGAAAGAGUAGUUGGUGACUUCUCUUGGCUUCAAGAAAAAAGCCAGGAGGAAAUUUCUGUCCUGAAAGCCAAAGAGUUUGAAGAAGAAGAGUCAUUUUUGUAUGGGUCUGGGGGUUACCUCCAAACUGAAGAACAUGCCAAACAUCUUGGUGCACAAGAACCCCUUCAGAUGGCAUCAUCUGCCUUUGCCAAUGCCAGUCUGGAUAAGUUGGAGUUUGACAAAAUCAAGAAAAUCCUCGAUAGUUUGGGAGGAACAUCGGAUAUUGGCAAGAUGGUAAUGAAUACUCAAAUGAUAAAGGAAGGCAGUGAAGCCUUUCCUGCUAUUUUAAAUUCAGACGUAGCAGUGGAGACUCUGAAAAACCCAAGUGUACGGAAAUCCCUGGAGUCGUUGCAGUCUCUGAUCAGAGCAACAAAGGACAAACGGGCAAGAAGCAACGGACAAUCAGAAACCUCCUCUGAAAAACAGAAGGCUGGCGACAAUGAAAAGAAGAAAAAAGACAAACAAACUAAAAUAAAAGAACUGGAAUCACUGGCACAAGAAUUGGAUGUUUUGCUUCGAGAGGAUGGAAUAGGCUUCAUGUCUCCAGUGAUCGGGUUUUACUGCCAGAAGUGUGAAGAGUUCAUCGGAGAUUUGAAGUCUGUUGAGACUCACGCGGCUGUCCACAUUCAUAGUACCUCCAGCUGCCUAAAAGAGAAGCAGGACAAACAUGGUAAAGACAUCAAAGGACACUCGCACCAUCACAGCAGCCAUAGUCAACAUCCUCACUCUGAGAAGAGAGGCCACAGGAGUGGCCGAGACCACCAGGAGAAAGGGCACAAAAGCACUCGACUGGGAAACCUCUGCCUGAAAGAAGAAAUGAAAAAAGAACGGAUGCUGAUAACUGUCAACCGUGGACUGACACCUCCGGCUCAGCCCACCAUAACCAAGGAGAACAAGGAGAUGGGCAUCCCAGGACACGCAAAAGUCAAAGAAGAAAAGGAGAAAUCGUUAAAAACCAGCAGAGGCAAACACAGCAGCGAGAGCAGCGAGGACGACAGAUCGUCCAAAGCUAAACAUGCUAAAAAGAAGAAGAAGGAAAAGAAGAAAAAGAAAAAGAGCGACGGGUCUUAAUUGUUUUCGUUUUCCUUUGAGAUUGUUGCCAUAAAAUCUUCAUUUCUUAGUCUAAUUUUGUUUUUUACCAUGCUUCAGAAAACUGCAUGUGUUGUUGAUAGAUUUUAGUUUUUGAUGCUGUGAAGAGUUUAGGAAGAUGAACUUGCAACAGUCAUCCAGAUGUUUGGUAGGAAAUUUACCUGAAUGAAUGUUUGAAUGCAGAUACCACAGAGGGGUCAUAAACGAGGUGAGGACCCGUGAAGCUGUUCUUACCCUGAUGCAUCAUGGCAGCGUUCAGUUUCAUGAUCGUUAUUCGUUUAAAAGUUCACAUCUGUAUUUAAUAAGUCUGCAAGUUCAUUUUCAACAAAUGUUUUCCUUCAUUUAGACCUAGAGAAGUUCUGUUGUCUGACAUGUUUCAGUUUUUAUUUCCUCUUUCCUCCUUUCCAAUAAACAUAAAAAUGAAAAGGCUGAGAUUUUUUUUAUUUCUUGUCGGCAUUAAUUAGUAACAGUUUUAUAUUUACUGAACCAGCAGUUGUAAUAAGUUAGCAGCUGCUUGACCAAACCUGGCCGCCCUCAGCCCCGGUUCACACGGCGGGAUAAUCAGAUCCAUUUCUGACCCCGAUUUUUGCUCUCGACAGUCUUAUGGAUGCGCAGGAUUACCAUAAUGGCUCUAAAGGUCAUGUUCCUGCGUGUGUGUUGGGAGCGCUCUGGUGAGCUCAGGACCACUAUGAUCAUAAACUGGGGACAUUAAUGAUGGGAAAUGUCUUGGUCCAACACAAAGGACAAAGAGGUAUGCUUCCUGUUGAAUGCGUUGCUAAUCAGAAAGUGAGGCGGUGGAAACGUGCCGGACGUACAGUAAUCCUUAUUGUGUGUGGAGUAAGGUGUAAAAAUAAAAGGAAACGUGUGUUGCCACAAAUACCUGCGGAGCCGUGUAGGCACUAUGUGAGUGGUUCUGGUUCUUUUGGGUUGCAGUGCUGCUUUAACAGUGCAAUUCCCUCACGAGGGAGGAGCAAAAUAUCAAAGACAUUUGAUAUUUGUGCACCUGUACAAUUGCUGAUCAGGGGCUAGUCAUGAGAGGUUAAUGGCCUCCUAUAAGCCCCUGUACACCACAAGAGGUACAACACUAAAUUCGCCCCAGUCUCUAAGAUUCGCACGAGAGGGAAGUUGGUUUAAAAAAGUGAAAAAGUUGCACAGUGUCCACCUGGCUUAAGGUGCACGUCCUAAUGGAAUCCACAGGCCUACAGAUGAUGUGUUUUUAAAGAGAAGUUGACAUUCUUGAAGGACUUGCAGGUAAACCAGGGUAGAUUCUUGUAACCUGACUUUGUUUUGAAUCUUUUUGCUAUAAAACUUGAAUUAUUUCACUUUACAGACUUUGUGAAGUAAAAGUUCUUUGUUCUGUUUGCCAUAAAUUGAGUUCUGAACAUUAUUAGACUUCAGUAGCUGGAAUAAAAAUGGAAAAUGCACAUUUAGAAAAAUUCCAAUAAAACAAAUUAAAUAAAAAAGUGAAUUAUUUGUAUUUAUGUUCUAAUUCCAUGCUUUCGUUCUUUUUUAGACACAGAAACAGUUUUGAUUACCUGUUUUGUAGCUACAGUUUCGCCGACGGUUGCCGGCUUCUUCAGGCUGACGCUGAUGGUGGCGCGUCACUUCCUUCUCCGUUUAUCUGCGGGCAGCAGAGGACGUUGUCGCCCUCUACUGCCCGCUCUCCCCUCUCCGACGAUGCAGUCCCAUGCGUGGUCCAGCGUGUAAACUCCGUCGUCCCUGUUCAUGGUCCCACAUCCACGUCUCCUUAUCUCGAUUGCUUCCUUGAUCCAUCUUUUGUAUUUUUGUUGUUC
This is a long non-coding RNA of Nothobranchius furzeri (turquoise killifish), 3908 nucleotides long. The record is from Ensembl. Lineage: Eukaryota; Metazoa; Chordata; Actinopteri; Cyprinodontiformes; Nothobranchiidae.